This 761-nucleotide ribosomal RNA is filed under the name uncultured fungus. Its description in RNAcentral is "eukaryotic LSU rRNA". The stretch from base 132 to 761 matches the Rfam family "Eukaryotic large subunit ribosomal RNA", at positions 1 to 649 of the family's 3401-position model. The record is from RNAcentral. Lineage: Eukaryota; Fungi.
ACUGCUUGGCGUUGGGCAUCACCGCCCCGGUGGGCCCAAAAAUCAGUGGCGGAGCCGUCGNNUNCAGCGUAGUAAAUCUCUCGCUGUAGAGUCGCGACGUCCCCGCCAGCAACCACCAAAUUUUACAAGGUUGACCUCGGAUCAGGUAGGGAUACCCGCUGAACUUAAGCAUAUCAAUAAGCGGAGGAAAAGAAACCAACAGGGAUUGCCUCAGUAACGGCGAGUGAAGCGGCAACAGCUCAAAUCUGAAAUCUGGCCUCGCGGUCCGAGUUGUAAUUUGUAGAGGAUGCUUCGGGCGUGGUCCGGUCUAAGUCCCUUGGAAUAGGGCAUCACAGAGGGUGAGAAUCCCGUACGUGACCGGGUGCCUAGGUCCAUGUGAAGCUCCUUCAACGAGUCGAGUUGUUUGGGAAUGCAGCUCUAAAUGGGUGGUAAAUUUCAUCUAAAGCUAAAUAUUGGCCAGAGACCGAUAGCGCACAAGUAGAGUGAUCGAAAGAUGAAAAGCACUUUGGAAAGAGGGUUAAACAGUACGUGAAAUUGUUGAAAGGGAAGCGCUUGCAACCAGACUUGCAUUUAGUUGAUCAUCCGAUGUUCUCACCGGUGCACUCUGCUAGAUUCAGGCCAGCAUCGGUUUCGGUGGUUAGAUAAAGGCCCCAGGAAUGUGGCUUCCUCCGGGGAGUGUUAUAGCCUGGGGUGCAAUGUAGCCCACUGGGACCGAGGACCGCGCUUCGGCUAGGAUGCUGGCGUAAUGGUUGUAAGCGACC